CCAUGCAUGGCUUAAUCUUUGAGACAAGCAUAUGACUACUGGCAGGAUCAACCAGGUAGCAUUCUUUCUCGACUUCGGACCCGCAUUGAUGCCACGGGCCUAGACGGCCCGCGGUCAAUGAGGUAGCGAGAGUCAUUCUUAUCGAGGGACUUGAUUGGAGCGACCGGAGGCCAAGACCCCCCACGUCCGCUUAAUAUUCCACAUCCGAGAGCACGAGCAGUUGUCCGGUGGACCGAGACGGCCACGACGGAAGUCGGAGGACACCUACGGGACACGGGCACUGCUCUCGAGGUCCGCAUUGCAGCCGCAAAGCAACAAGGAGGACAGGUGCGGGGCUAUCCGACGAAUUUUUCCGUACGAUGGGAAGGCAACACAGGAACCA
This 382-nucleotide unclassified non-coding RNA is filed under the name Ficus adenosperma. RNAcentral describes it as "partial contains external transcribed spacer and 18S ribosomal RNA". Lineage: Eukaryota; Viridiplantae; Streptophyta; Magnoliopsida; Rosales; Moraceae. The record is from RNAcentral.